RNAcentral lists this ribosomal RNA (681 nucleotides) under Triticum aestivum (bread wheat). RNAcentral describes it as "partial small subunit ribosomal RNA". Lineage: Eukaryota; Viridiplantae; Streptophyta; Magnoliopsida; Poales; Poaceae. The record is from RNAcentral.
AUGGCCGAGAACAACCAUGACGCCGCAGAGGAAGGAGACGGGCAGCUCCUGUCCACGCUCCCGAAGAAGGAAGGAAUGUGGAAGCCAUUCUUCCUCUACCGAGGCUGCUGGCUCACACCCCGGGCCGUGACGAGCAUCACGCUCCUGCAGUCCGAGUUUGCGCCGCGCCCCGACGACGUCGUCCUCGCCACCUUCCCGAACUGGCACUACAUGAACAAGGUGAGCGCCGACUUCUCCCUCGACAUGGACGCCACCUUCGAGCUCUUCUGCGAGGGGUUCUCUCUGUACGGUCCUCUCUGGGACCACGUCCGCGGGUACUGGGAGCAGAGCGUGGCGGAGCCCGACAGGGUCCUCUUCCUCAAGUACGACGACAUGAUGGCCGACGCAGGCAAGCACGUCAAGAUGCUCGCCGAGUUCCUCCGCGUCCCGUUCACCGUGGAGGAGGUUAGCGGCGGAGCCGUGGAGGAGGUCGUGGCCCUGUGUAGCUUCGAGAAUUUGAACAGCCUGCCGGUCAACUCUUCAGGAGUGUCCGAUCGGAUUGGUGGGUUGCCCAUGGAGAAUUCGUCCUACUUCCGGGCUGGGAAGGUGGGGGACUGGAAGAUAACUCCGACUGAGGAGAUGGCAAAGAAGCUGGACGACAUCGUUCAAGAGAAGCUCAGAGGUUCUGGUCUCGCCUUCUGA